RNAcentral lists this ribosomal RNA (444 nucleotides) under Prevotella sp. oral taxon G57. RNAcentral's name for it is "bacterial SSU rRNA". It matches the Rfam family "Bacterial small subunit ribosomal RNA", at positions 28 to 460 of the family's 1533-position model. The record is from RNAcentral. Lineage: Bacteria; Pseudomonadati; Bacteroidota; Bacteroidia; Bacteroidales; Prevotellaceae.
GAUGAACGCUGGCUACAGGCUUAACACAUGCAAGUCGAGGGGAAACGGCAUUUGGUGCUUGCACCGAAUGGACGUCGACCGGCGCACGGGUGAGUAACGCGUAUCCAACCUUCCCGUUACUGCGGGAUAACCUGCCGAAAGGCAGACUAAUACCGCAUGUUCUUCGAUGACGGCAUCAGAUUCGAAGCAAAGAUCCGUCGGUAACGGAGGGGGAUGCGUCUGAUUAGCUAGUUGGCGGGGCGACGGCCCACCAAGGCGACGAUCAGUAGGGGUUCUGAGAGGAAGGUCCCCCACAUUGGAACUGAGACACGGUCCAAACUCCUACGGGAGGCAGCAGUGAGGAAUAUUGGUCAAUGGGCGGAAGCCUGAACCAGCCAAGUAGCGUGCAGGAUGACGGCCCUACGGGUUGUAAACUGCUUUUAUGCAGGGAUAAAGUGAGGGACG